RNAcentral lists this ribosomal RNA (583 nucleotides) under Leucobacter sp. Its description in RNAcentral is "bacterial SSU rRNA". It matches the Rfam family "Bacterial small subunit ribosomal RNA", at positions 228 to 823 of the family's 1533-position model. The record is from RNAcentral. Lineage: Bacteria; Bacillati; Actinomycetota; Actinomycetes; Micrococcales; Microbacteriaceae.
CGUCGCGGCCCUAUCAGCUUGUUGGUGAGGUAGUGGCUCACCAAGGCGACGACGGGUAGCCGGCCUGAGAGGGUGACCGGCCACACUGGGACUGAGACACGGCCCAGACUCCUACGGGAGGCAGCAGUGGGGAAUAUUGCACAAUGGGCGAAAGCCUGAUGCAGCAACGCCGCGUGAGGGAUGACGGCCUUCGGGUUGUAAACCUCUUUUAGUAGGGAAGAAGCGAAAGUGACGGUACCUGCAGAAAAAGCACCGGCUAACUACGUGCCAGCAGCCGCGGUAAUACGUAGGGUGCAAGCGUUGUCCGGAAUUAUUGGGCGUAAAGAGCUCGUAGGCGGCUUGUCGCGUCUGCUGUGAAAACCCGAGGCUCAACCUCGGGCCUGCAGUGGGUACGGGCAGGCUAGAGUGCGGUAGGGGAGAUUGGAAUUCCUGGUGUAGCGGUGGAAUGCGCAGAUAUCAGGAGGAACACCGAUGGCGAAGGCAGAUCUCUGGGCCGUAACUGACGCUGAGGAGCGAAAGCAUGGGGAGCGAACAGGAUUAGAUACCCUGGUAGUCCAUGCCGUAAACGUUGGGAACUAGAUGU